ACUAAGGUUUCCAGAGGAAGGCUCGUCCGCUCUGGGUUAGUCGGGUCCUAAGCUGAGGCCGACAGGCGUAGGCGAUGGAUAACAGGUUGAUAUUCCUGUACCACCUAUAAUCGUUUUAAUCGAUGGGGGGACGCAGUAGGAUAGGCGAAGCGUGCGAUUGGAUUGCACGUCUAAGCAGUAAGGCUGAGUAUUAGGCAAAUCCGGUACUCGUUAAGGCUGAGCUGUGAUGGGGAGAAGACAUUGUGUCUUCGAGUCGUUGAUUUCACACUGCCGAGAAAAGCCUCUAGAUAGAAAAUAGGUGCCCGUACCGCAAACCGACACAGGUAGUCAAGAUGAGAAUUCUAAGGUGAGCGAGCGAACUCUCGUUAAGGAACUCGGCAAAAUGACCCCGUAACUUCGGGAGAAGGGGUGCUCUUUAGGGUUAACGCCCAGAAGAGCCGCAGUGAAUAGGCCCAAGCGACUGUUUAUCAAAAACACAGGUCUCUGCUAAACCGUAAGGUGAUGUAUAGGGGCUGACGCCUGCCCGGUGCUGGAAGGUUAAGAGGAGUGGUUAGCUUCUGCGAAGCUACGAAUCGAAGCCCCAGUAAACGGCGGCCGUAACUAUAACGGUCCUAAGGUAGCGAAAUUCCUUGUCGGGUAAGUUCCGACCCGCACGAAAGGCGUAACGAUUUGGGCACUGUCUCAACGAGAGACUCGGUGAAAUCAUAGUACCUGUGAAGAUGCAGGUUACCCGCGACAGGACGGAAAGACCCCGUGGAGCUUUACUGUAGCCUGAUAUUGAAAUUCGGCACAGCUUGUACAGGAUAGGUAGGAGCCUUUGAAACGUGAGCGCUAGCUUACGUGGAGGCGCUGGUGGG
RNAcentral lists this ribosomal RNA (857 nucleotides) under Staphylococcus aureus. RNAcentral describes it as "partial 23S ribosomal RNA". It matches the Rfam family "Bacterial large subunit ribosomal RNA", at positions 1344 to 2196 of the family's 2925-position model. Lineage: Bacteria; Bacillati; Bacillota; Bacilli; Caryophanales; Staphylococcaceae. The record is from RNAcentral.